This 453-nucleotide long non-coding RNA is filed under the name Salvia miltiorrhiza (redroot sage). Its description in RNAcentral is "long non-coding RNA (SMIL_LNC012119)". The record is from RNAcentral. Lineage: Eukaryota; Viridiplantae; Streptophyta; Magnoliopsida; Lamiales; Lamiaceae.
ACCCCAUCCACAGGCCGAAGAGGGAAGUAAGAACACCGGUUUACGCCAAUGAACAACCCCAGUACAUCCGGUAGCGAUAAAAGGUCAGAGAAAGAGCAAAAGAAGAGGUUUGAGAUGAUCCCUGGUCGAAGAAGGCAUUUAGUAACUAAUCAAUAGUAAGGGAUCAUGAGGGAUUUCAAGUCACCUUUUCAUUCAGAGUGAAUCUAUAAAAAGAAGGAACCCUUUCUUUACUGAAAAGGCUAUUGCAUGAGAAAGAGCUUUAGUAUGAGUCCCACACAUCUAGAAGUUGAAACAUCUGAUUCUAGUCCAUCUACUUCUGAUUCUAUUGAUUUUUGUGCUAUAUGCGGAAGUCGGACUCGGGAACAACUUCUGGUUUACUGAAUCCAAUACCUGUAGUGCCUCACUUGACGAAGCACCACAUUGCAUUCUUUUCUUCUCGAAUACAAUGCUUGC